This 1330-nucleotide ribosomal RNA is filed under the name uncultured bacterium. RNAcentral describes it as "bacterial SSU rRNA". It matches the Rfam family "Bacterial small subunit ribosomal RNA", at positions 129 to 1504 of the family's 1533-position model. The record is from RNAcentral.
CCCUUUGGCCUGGAAUAACACGAGGAAACUUGUGCUAAUACCGGAUAAGUCUUUACGGAGAAAGCUUUAUGCACCAUUGGAUGAGCCCGCACUUGAUUAGUUUGUUGGUAGGGUAAUGGCCUACCAAGACUAUGAUCAAUAGCUGAUUUGAGAGGAUGAUCAGCCACAUUGGGACUGAGACACGGCCCAAACUCCUACGGGAGGCAGCAGUGGGGAAUCUUGCACAAUGGAGGAAACUCUGAUGCAGCGAUGCCGCGUGAGUGAAGAAGGCCCUUGGGUUGUAAAGCUCUUUCGUCGGGGAAGAAAAUGACUGUACCCGAAUAAGAAGGUCCGGCUAACUUCGUGCCAGCAGCCGCGGUAAUACGAAGGGACCUAGCGUAGUUCGGAAUUACUGGGCUUAAAGAGUUCGUAGGUGGUUGAAAAAGUUAGUGGUGAAAUCCCAGAGCUUAACUCUGGAACUGCCAUUAAAACUUUUCAGCUAGAGUAUGAUAGAGGAAAGCAGAAUUUCUAGUGUAGAGGUGAAAUUCGUAGAUAUUAGAAAGAAUACCAAUUGCGAAGGCAGCUUUCUGGAUCAUUACUGACACUGAGGAACGAAAGCAUGGGUAGCGAAGAGGAUUAGAUACCCUCGUAGUCCAUGCCGUAAACGAUGUGUGUUAGACGUUGGAAAUUUAUUUUCAGUGUCGCAGGGAAACCGAUAAACACACCGCCUGGGGAGUACGACCGCAAGGUUAAAACUCAAAUGAAUUGACGGGGACCCGCACAAGUAGUGGAGCAUGUGGUUUAAUUCGAAGAUACGCGCAGAACCUUACCAACACUUGACAUGUUCGUCGCGACUCUAAGAGAUUAGAGUUUUCGGUUCGGCCGGACGAAACACAGGUGCUGCAUGGCUGUCGUCAGCUCGUGUCGUGAGAUGUUGGGUUAAGUCCCGCAACGAGCGCAACCCUCACUUUUAGUUGCCAUCAUUAAGUUGGGCACUCUGAAAGAACUGCCAGUGAUAAGCUGGAGGAAGGUGGGGAUGACGUCAAGUCCUCAUGGCCCUUACGUGUUGGGCUACACACGUGCUACAAUGGCAUCUACAACAGGAAGCAAAACGGCAACGUUAAGCAAAUCCCGAAAAGAUGCCUCAGUUCGGAUUGCACUCUGCAACUCGAGUGCAUGAAGCUGGAAUUACUAGUAAUCGUGGAUCAGCGUGCCACGGUGAAUGCGUUCCCGGGUCUUGUACACACCGCCCGUCACACCAUGGGAGUUGGUUCUACCUUAAGGCAAGGUUUCAAACCCUUGACCACGGUAUAGUCAGCGACUGGGGUGAAGUCGUAACAAGGUAACCGUA